AUGCCAUGGUGGGGAAACUUCUGAAAUAACUCCUUAAACCACUUUCAUGCCUCAUAUAAAGAUUCUUUAUCAAGUUGCUGAAAUGAAGUGAUUUCAUUGCAGAGCUU
Non-coding RNA from Gossypium hirsutum (cotton), 107 nucleotides. The record is from Rfam. Lineage: Eukaryota; Viridiplantae; Streptophyta; Magnoliopsida; Malvales; Malvaceae.